UGCGACUUCUAGGGCCCGAAAGCUGGGGAGGAUGAGAGACCAGGGGCCUUUCGUCGUCCUCUGGGGCUGGGCAGAGGCUCAGCCUGUGCCGCAACCCUAAGCGGCUUCUGGCAAGUCCGAGCCGCGGUCCCUUUAAGAGGGGGUGGAGCUUCAACCUGGCACUAGGGAUGCUGCCAGCGUGCGUGUCCCUACGGAGCUGAGACUGCACUUCCUGCGACGCCCCUGCAGCAGCAGCAGCGUGGUCAGAGCGAGCUUCUGAGAAGCGGUGGUGGGUUCCAUGUGAUGGUGGAGUAGGAGACGGGUCUCCGCGGUUCAUCUGCGUUGCUCUAAAUGGGACUGUUUCAUUAUUUUGAUGGCUGAAGAAUAUUUCCUAGUGUAUGUAUAUGAGAGUUUCUUGAUCUCUUUAUCUGUGGAUGAACAGGUAGGUUGAAUUUAUA
RNAcentral lists this long non-coding RNA (437 nucleotides) under Pan troglodytes (chimpanzee). Its description in RNAcentral is "long non-coding RNA NONPTRT010764". Lineage: Eukaryota; Metazoa; Chordata; Mammalia; Primates; Hominidae. The record is from RNAcentral.